Molecule: ribosomal RNA, 222 nt
Filed under: uncultured bacterium
Lineage: Bacteria
Description: partial 16S ribosomal RNA
Rfam family: Bacterial small subunit ribosomal RNA
Source: RNAcentral
UGAGGAACAUGACCUUCGGCGGGGGAUAGCCGGCCCAACGGCCGGGUAAUACCGCGUACGACCAUUUGGGGACAUCCCCGAGUGGUGAAAGCAGCAAUGCGCCGAUGGAGUGCCUCGCGGCCUAUCAGCUAGUUGGUGGGGUAACGCUCACCAAGGCAACGACGGGUAGCUGGUCUGAGAGGAUGGCCAGCCANAUUGGAACUGAGACACGGUCCAGACUCC